GGCGGCGUGCCUAAUACAUGCAAGUAGAACGCUGAAGGAGGAGCUUGCUUCUCUGGAUGAGUUGCGAACGGGUGAGUAACGCGUAGGUAACCUGCCUGGUAGCGGGGGAUAACUAUUGGAAACGAUAGCUAAUACCGCAUAACAGUAGAUGUUGCAUGACAUUUGCUUAAAAGGUGCAAUUGCAUCACUACCAGAUGGACCUGCGUUGUAUUAGCUAGUUGGUGGGGUAACGGCUCACCAAGGCGACGAUACAUAGCCGACCUGAGAGGGUGAUCGGCCACACUGGGACUGAGACACGGCCCAGACUCCUACGGGAGGCAGCAGUAGGGAAUCUUCGGCAAUGGACGGAAGUCUGACCGAGCAACGCCGCGUGAGUGAAGAAGGUUUUCGGAUCGUAAAGCUCUGUUGUAAGAGAAGAACGAGUGUGAGAGUGGAAAGUUUCACACUGUGAACGGAU
RNAcentral lists this ribosomal RNA (457 nucleotides) under Streptococcus mitis. Its description in RNAcentral is "bacterial SSU rRNA". It matches the Rfam family "Bacterial small subunit ribosomal RNA", at positions 38 to 478 of the family's 1533-position model. The record is from RNAcentral. Lineage: Bacteria; Bacillati; Bacillota; Bacilli; Lactobacillales; Streptococcaceae.